AUAACUAUUAUUACUCAAAAUAUAGAUUGUAUAUUUAUGUUUAAGUGAGGUUAUCACUGAAAUAUGUACUGGAAAAAUUAACGUAGUACUAAAUCGUAGCUCUAAAAGGGCUACUAUUUAUCAACAGAUAGCAUCUACAUUACCGCGCUUCCUAUGAAAAAUUCACGAAGUGAAUGUAAUGGGAAAGAAAUGGUACUAUGGUGUAGUGUCGAACUACAACCGUACCUAUUACCUUAAAUCUAGGGUAAUACUACCAAGUACCACAGUAUUUGGAUAUAUAUAAAUAUAUAUAUCAAUACACCGAUACUCAACUUGCCUUAUUUGAUGGAUAAGGUAUAAUGUGAUGUCUAGAUCCCAGACUGUUUCGCUCCCCUAUCAGAGGGAUUUUAGGACCUACACACGACCCCUGCAUGAAUGCAAGCCGUGAGCAUCACAUUACCUGCGAUCAUGUAUACUCGAUAUAACAAUCACAAUCGUAGUGUGUUUUAUCAGUAUAGUUAGAUCCUAAACUGGUUCUGAGCUAUAGCCCCUAGUGACGUCUAUCCUAUGUAUAUGAAAGCGUACUCAUGUAAGUGUGAUCAUGUAAUUGUACUUAUGGUGUACUGAAAUGUUCUACGUGUGCUAGCUGUAAUGUGUGUUCUCUCUAUCUAGCAAGUAUUGUCAUGUAAGCGUUCUAGUAUAAUUGUAUAUGUUCUCGUCCUAGUAUAGAUGUAUAUGUAUUGUACAGCAAUGUUCUAGAAAGUAUUGACUCAUGAAUGAACUGACUCGUUGUAUGAUAUCGCGUUCUAGUAAUGGUUCUAGUAUCUUCCUGAACUACCCAAAUGGUAGCUUACUAGUAAUCUAAGUGGUACGUAUGGACGUGGAUGUAUACCCUUGCUACCCAAGGGCAUAGGAUGAACUGGAAGGACCUUUUAUGACUUUAUAUGUACACAUGAUAUAUAACUAAUAUUUAAACGACCUUCGGACGAGUAUCCAAUAUCCCACCAGACCACAUCUCAAGGCGCGAAAAGGAAAUAGGGUGGAUAGCCUUCCUAAGUCUUUUAAACAUUUCUUAUAUAACUAUACAUAUAGAGGCAUGCAAUUUAUAAUAUAAAAGCAUAAAUAAGUUUGGUAAAACAUUUGAAACAUAAAUAUUAGUUUAAGGAAAGAUCGACUUGAUGUCAAUCUAUAAAACAAUUUGAAGGCAUAAGUUUGAUAAAACAAUAUAAGUAUAAGGAACAUUUGUUUGAAACACAGUUGUAAAUAAGUUUGAAAUAUGAUAAACAGAGUAAGAGGUACAGUGUAAUAAGGAGUUUAAAACAUAUAAAAUGUUUAUAAAAAUCAUUUGAAGGAAACUGUUUGGUAAAACGGCUAAUGAGUAGCCAAAUCUUUUGAAUGUUGUAUAUUAAUCACAUGUGAUUGAUGUAAUAAGUAAUAUACUCCUACUUACUAAUCACAUGCAAUUGACAUAAUAAGUAGCAUGAUUCUACUUGUUUCCCCCCCCAUAAAGCAUUUAAAAGUAGUUUAAAACAUUAUUUAAGGGGUAUGAACUCACAUGAAAGCUUGAAGAUAGCGAGAUGGAAAACCGGGCAGAGUUUCGUCUCGGGAAACGGAUUUUUCUCGGGAUUCUCGGGAAUCUCGGGAGUAAAAUCGACCCUCGGGACUUGAGCAAAAAGACCAGAGCUUCGGGUUAUAACGGGCACGGAAAACGAGGCAAGAUCGAGAGAGAAAUGAGAGAAUUGAGCAACUUUUUCGGAAAGCCUCGCAUCCUAUUUAUAGGAAGGUUGAACCGCCUCCGAACGCGGGGCGUACGCUCGUACGCAGCGCGUACGCGUACGUCAUGCAUGACCGAAGCCUCGACUGCCUCGGUUCGGAUGGGACGGGUUGCUGGGUACGCGGGUCGGAUGGGACGGCGGGUCGGACGGGACAGCGGGUCGGACGGGUCGGAGCUUCGGACGGGUCGGACGGGUCGGAUUCCUCGGAUAUUGGCGACGUGGACGAUCCGAAGCCCUUGAUCUCAGUACGCGGGGCGUACGAAGGUACGCAGGGCGUACUUCGGACCUAUCCGAUGACUCCCCUUCGGAUAAUACCGGGAAUUUAUAAUUAAAUUUAUAUUUAUUUUAAUUAAACUUCUAAAAUUCAUAUCUCCCUCAUACGAACUCCGUUUUUGACGUUCUUUAUAUCCACGCGAAGGUGAGACCAUGAUCUACAACUUUCGUUUAGAUUCCGUUGGCAAAUUCCGAAAUUAUUUUUAUUAUUUAUUUAUUAAAAUGACGUGAUUAAGGAAUUUCUUCGAAAAUUCAUAACUUUCUCAUCCGAAGUCAGAUUUGGACGUUCUUUUUAUGUACGCUCACGGUUUGAGGUUAUCUAUAACUUUCAUUUAGAUACUUAAGGCUAUAAACUAUUGUAUUGAAACUUCGCGUUUUUCGUUUAAUCGGUGUUGCCGGUUUUGCCGAGAAUCUUCGGUUGGUCAUAACUUCUUCGUUAUAACUCGGAUUUUAGGGUUCUUUAUAUGUACGAAAACCUUGAUACGAUUCCUACUACUUUAUUUAACCCAAAUAAGAUUUUAGGAAAGUUAUAUUUUGACCUAAAUUUGAUUGGUUUUACAUUACAUUGUCUCGAAAUAUCGGGUUGUCACAUCAUCCCCCCGUUAAAGGGAAUUUCGUCCCGAAAUUAGAAUUUAAGCAAGGAAGUAUGCACGAAUGAUCGAGUCGUGAGGAGGAAACUUCCUAAUCGAUUGGUUCUAGCGCACCUAAGUGAUAACGGGUUCUCGGUUGGCAUUCCAACGAACCUUCACUAACUGGCGACGGCGUUGCUUCGUCCGCUUGACCUCUCGGUCGAGGGUCACUACGGUUCUAAUACGAAGGCGAGGAUCUCGAAGAGUGGACUUGCAAGAGUCCUAACGGAAAGGUAUGGUUUCACGAUCGAGAUGCGAAGAGUAGAAAGUACGUUACUGAGUUCGCGGAGUAGGUCUUGUUUGUGUGAGGCACAGGACCGAUUCUGAUAAGAAUCUCGGAGGUCCUGUCUAACUUGGAUUUAGAUUUCCACGCUUUACGAAGCGUAUUAAGCCAUUCCCAGAGUGAGUUAUCCUAAAGAACUUGGUCACUCACUUGGAAUCUCAAAGGUUCCUUUUCUUGCGUAACUUCCCAGUCAAAGGCCACCCCUUGCUGGGUCAAAGUCGUACGAGUUUCUGUAGCUUGCGAGGAGUUCUGAAUGAACUAAGGCGGUAGGUCGGUAAGGCCUAGAAUUUGGCGAAAAACUGUCGGUGUCUCUGGUGUCGAUGAAUGCUCAAUGGUUUUGGCAAAUUGAAAGAGUACUCAAAAUUUCCCACAUUACUAACAGUGUGUCCUAGAAAUUUGACUCUUCAAUUUCCAAAUCUCGUGCCUAGAGAACUUUGCUAAAAGUUCCUCUGUAGGAAAUGUUUUCAUGGGUUUUCUUCUUACUACGAGGGUAGAUAAGUAAGUCAUUUCAUGGAGAAAUGACGAAUCGAUCCAAGUAAGAAAGACGUAACCCUAAUCAUUUAUCUCAUGAAAACCAUGGGCGUAUUGGUCCUAUCCGAAAGGUAUCACUACGAACUCGAAGUGUCCGUAUCGAGUUCAGGAGAUAGUCUUUCGGACAUCCUUCCCUAACACUCGAACUGGUGAUAUUCGGAUUUCAGAUCCAUUCCUGGAAGUAGUUUCUUUCCUUACGUUUGCUCAACCAUUUUGUCUAUGCGAGGCAGAGAUAACGAUUUCUAUGAAAAUCUUGACGGAUUCCUCGAUAACCGAGGCACAUACGAUGCGAUCCAUCGAUCUCUGGAAGAAUCUGACCGGGGUUCUCUAGGGUGAGAAACCUAGUCUUCUAAUUCUAUUUCUGUGUAGUUCGCUAAGUUGUUCGUACUGUUCUUGUAUCUCCGUGGGUGUUUAAACUAUAGGGUGAUCUGUUUUCGGGAGUCGUACUGGGUUCUAAGUUUGUUCACAUGACGAUGUGAUUACUCGUAUACUUAGGCAGUUUCUCCGUCCUGAAGUCCAUUUUAGAAUUCAUACAGGGCUUCACGAUCACAAUUUCGUGUAUACGAGUCGUAUAUAAUUAAGAUUGAAAAGGUAGUCGAAUAACUGAUUCUUCCUUACCCUCACAUCCCAAGGAGGAAAAGAGUUAAGGCGGAAUCAUCAAUUCUAAACCUGUAGAACCUUGAUUAUAUAACACUCUUAUGUAUACCUUCCUCAGUGAUAGAUCAUCCGCAUGAAUCCCUGGAUUGAACUUGACGUACUGCACGAGUGGUACUUCGGGGAUUUCUUCGGAAAGAAAAUAUCUAAGAGGUACUCCUGGAAUGAGUACUUCGGCGUUCUGAUAUGACGGCUUCGCUGGAAAAGUGAUCUAGAAGAUAGGGAUGUACGUAUGAAGCUGUUUUCGUGAGGAUCAAAUUUAAUCGAGUCGUAUGAUAAUGUCGGGAUCAUACUGAAAUUUAAAGACAUUAGAUUUGAACAUAAGACGUUUACAGACAAGAGACAACCGUGCAACCAUGAACAGAGUUACAGUACUUUAGAUUUACCACAAGACUAUUGCUGCGAAUAAGAUAUACUACAAAAGACAAGUAUACGCAGCACGAGAAUUCCUAUACAGACAGGAUCUCGCAAAAGGUAAGACUCUAGUUGCACUAGUUCUAGAUAGUUUAUAAGUCUGUUACAACGAAACGCCUUAAAUAUAUUAACGUGGUUCCUGAGCAGGCUCUCCUGCAGCUGUGAUCCUGAGAAUCUUCCCAUCAGCGCCAGAAUUCUGCGUUAUCGGGCAAUCCCUCUUGAAGUGCCCUGUCUCACCACAUUGGUGACAUGACUGGCUAGUACUAGCUUUGGUGACGGGAUUACGGUGCUUAGCUAGUGUUAUGUGGACACGAGUGCCUUCCUCGUUACUCCACCUCGAAAAUUGCUUCUUGAAUCGUUCUGCGCUAUAACUCGUCUUGUGCGCAGGGUUAGUCUCGAUGAAAGGGACUUGAGUGACGGGUCGUUUCGGUGCUCCACAGUCACGAGCAUGAUGCCCUAUGUUUAGGCAAUUGCAACAUUGCAUCUCAUGGCAAGCCCCAUGAUGAUGGAAACUACACUUAUCACACUUCGGGAGUUUUCCCUCAUAUGACCUGCGCGGUACGGGAACGGCAGGGGUUUCCACUUGCUGCUGUUGUAUAGCCAGCUUUUGAGCUCUCUUGCGUUCUUUCCGGGCUUGGCGCUUUCGUUUCUUGUUCUCUGUUUUCUGGCUUUGCGAGCCUGUGACUGUUACUGUUUGGUGACUCCCUGGAUGGAUAUCACGAUUGGGAACUUCAUUCCCAUCAGCAGUAUCGACCGUGUUGAUAGUGCUACGGUGCGCAAUGACCGCGGGUACGACAGCCACUACGGCAGCUGUAAAUACCGUUUGAAAGGUAGCGGCGUCCAUGGGAAAAGUAGAGGUCUCGUUGCUUGGCUGGUUGUUUCCGGAUGACGACAUGAUUCUGUAACACGAAAGAGUAAAGAUUUGUGAGCGAUUCUGGUUGACCCUGAUGUACUUAGAUUGUUCAUGAAAAGAGUAAGAGUAUGAUCUCGAAAGUUUGACCUACAUCCCUAUGAUGCAGUCCUGGUUAAAGAAUGAAAGUAUGUUCGCGAAGGUUUGACCUACAUCCCUAUGAUGCAGUCCUAGUACGGAAUGGAAGUAUGUUCGUAGAAUGGUCUCAAGACGUUUGUCGUUCGAGCUGAGGUAUCGUGGGUUGGUGAAUAACAAGAUCCAACCACUGAAAGAGACUUGGAAAUGCCUCUGGAGAUAAAUCACCAUAGUCCAAUGACUUGACUAAAGUAUGAUUCAGAUAGACUCCAAUGAAAGUAAGAUAAAAGUACUUGAAUGAAGAAUGACACAGAAGUUAGCCGGCUGUCAAUAUCUUUGAUAUUCACGAUGUAAAGAUUCGGGAAAAUGACCUUGUAAAGGUCUUACAUCAUAUCCACAGAAGAUAGUUCCUGACAGCAUAAAGACCUAACUAAAGUACUUACGGAACAAGAUAAUUUCAUAGAAAAUACCACAUCGGGCAUAGACAGAAAAACACGAUUUCUUUUUAUAAGGGAAAUAAAGUAAAGCGUCUACUACUGGCGACGGUCAUCCCUCUGGUGAACUCUUAGUUCAACCAAUUGACGUUCCAUGUCAAGUAGGUGUCUUUCGCACACCAUCUGGCGUACUCGGAGCCCUAUGACUUCGGCUCGUGAUUCAGUCAGUGCUUGCAGCAGGGUUUCAUGGUUUCUCUCUGAUCUCUCGUGAGCAUCUUCUAGAUGAAUGGUGUGGAGGGUAUGCAUUCUAGCAUAGGCGACUACUUCUGUAAUCUGAUGUAGGGCUGUCCUGCCUUGAAUCUCAUUUCGGGCCUCUCUGCGGACCAAGAUUGGCAAGACUCUAUCUGCUGAGCCCCCAUUGCUCAAGUCGUAAAAGCUUCGGUCGCCAUCAAAUAGCAUAAACUGAUCUUGUCCUUGGCUCCCUGUUUCCAAGCAUUCCACUCACUCAGGGUCGGGCCAUGAAAAGCCGGACGAGGGUUAGGAAUUGGAAAGGAGCUGCUUGGGGUAGGUUCUCAACCUCUGGUUCGGAGUUAGCAUCAUACGAAAAGUCUUCAUCAUGGUGAUCAUCCAAGGGGAUAGGAUGAUCAUUCUCUGGUUCUUCUCCAAACCAACCAGCUAUGACUUCAUUCGGAAGAUACUGGUUGUCAAGGGGAUGGAGUCCAGCUAUGAUUUCUAUGCGAGAAUUUAGGGUAAGAGGAUAAUUAUUAGACGAACUAUCUAGAUAAUUAUUUAGAAAACCUUCAUUAGUUACAUCGCUAUUUGUGAAGUGCAUACCAGCUAUGUGUAAUCUAAACAGGAUAGACCUUCGAAUAAGUGACCUUAUUUCCAAAUUCACACAGAAUAGGGGUAAGGCAAAAUUACCACUGAUUCUAAGUCUAUAACAUCCUAAUUACAUGUAGCCUUAGUGUAUCCACUUAGCAACUAUCAACUUAGUAAUGAAGAUCCCGUUUUAAUUCUCAAGUAUAAAGUACUUAUAGUAACACCAAAUACACCUAUAGUAUUUUAAUUUUAAUGUUAUGUUCUAUUGUUCUCAUUGUGGUAGGGUUGGUAAGAUUUUAGCAUUGUUGCAACCACACACUUAAACUUAGGCACAUGCUAGUCAACCCUCGGAUAAUAUAGGUGAUCAGGCUAUAUCUUCCCAGUUUUGACCAUAUGUCUCUAAGCACACUUGUGUUGCCCAACAAUCGUAAUUCUUUUGUACUGUCCUAGUGACACUGAUUUUAGUAUGAAUGCAGGCACGUAUACUUACUUAAAUAUUUUAUUAUUUAAAGUAUAAACUCUAAAUCAGAGUAUUUUUAAUCCCAUUGUAUUUAUAGUUAGUAUAUCUUUUAUGGGUUGAUAUACUCAAUUCACUAUAAACAAUGCUCUGAUACCAAUCUGUCACACCCCAAAACCGAGAACGGCGGAAACGUUCUGGGGCGGAGGACGUCAUGUAUAAUAUCAACAACAAUGUAAAGUAGUAAACAAGCAACAACAUCAUCCAUUGCAUUAAUAAAAUAAUUAUUAUACAAUUGUAUUCUGACAAAUUUUGAUAAACACUAAAGCAUAAAUCAAAAUGAAAGAUAAGUCUUGAAUAAGCUCCAUCUUCCGUUUUCCUUGCAUCGGUACCUGUCUAUGAUGACCUGAGGAUACAAGUAAUUUUGAAAGCGAGUAUCAGCUUUAAAGCUGGUGAGAUCAUAAGUAUUAAUGUGUCUUAAUUUGUGAAAACUUAUAAUUUCUAAGACUUGACAUUGCUUUGAAAGAAAACGAGUAUAAGUAUGAAAAUAUUUGUAGCUCAACUGUAUAUGUUUGAAAAUCCCUAGAAAUCCCUAUGAUUCCUAUUAGUAACAAAAGGAGUCUUCUACCAAGACUUAACUGUUCUGUGUGUGUGUGUCUCUUGUAAGAGUAUGUAUUUUUCCAAAGUAUAACUAUCAUUACUCAAAAUAUAGAUUGUAUAUUUAUGUUUAAGUGAGGUUAUCACUGAAAUAUGUACUGGAAAAAUUAACGUAGUACUAAAUCGUAGCUCUAAAAGGGCUACUAUUUAUCAACAGAUAGCAUCUACAUUACCGCGCUUCCUAUGAAAAAUUCACGAAGUGAAUGUAAUGGGAAAGAAAUGGUACUAUGGUGUAGUGUCGAACUACAACCGUACCUAUUACCUUAAAUCUAGGGUAAUACUACCAAGUACCACAGUAUUUGGAUAUAUAUAAAUAUAUAUAUCAAUACACCGAUACUCAACUUGCCUUAUUUGAUGGAUAAGGUAUAAUGUGAUGUCUAGAUCCCAGACUGUUUCGUUCCCCUAUCAAAAAGAUUUUAGGACCUACACACGACCCCUGCAUGAAUGCAAGUCGUGAGCAUCACAUUACCGCGAUCAUGUAUACUCGAUAUAACAAUCACAAUCGUAGUGUGUUUUAUCAGUAUAGUUAGAUCCUAAACUGGUUCUGAGCUAUAGCCCCUAGUGACGUCUAUCCUAUGUAUAUGAAAGCGUACUCAUGUAAGUGUGAUCAUGUAAUUGUACUUAUGGUGUACUGAAAUGUUCUACGAAUGCUAGCUGUAAUGUGUGUUCUCUCUAUCUAGCAAGUAUUGCCAUGUAAGCGUUCUAGUAUAAUUGUAUAUGUUCUCGUCCUAGUAUAGAUGUAUAUGUAUUGUACAGCAAUGUUCUAGAAAGUAUUGACUCAUGAAUGAACUGACUCGUUGUAUGAUAUCGCGUUCUAGUAAUGGUUCUAGUAUCUUCCUGAACUACCCAUAUGGUAGCUUACUAGUGAUCUAAGUGGUACGUAUGGACGUGGAUGUAUACCCUUGCUACCCAAGGGCAUAGGAUGAACUGGAAGGACCUUUUAUGACUUUAUAUGUACACAUGAUAU
This 8857-nucleotide long non-coding RNA is filed under the name Lactuca sativa (garden lettuce). Its description in RNAcentral is "long non-coding RNA (LSAT_LNC002644)". The record is from RNAcentral. Lineage: Eukaryota; Viridiplantae; Streptophyta; Magnoliopsida; Asterales; Asteraceae.